CGUAUUCAUUCACAUGUUCAUCUGCUCAGGCAUUCAUUGAAUAUUUAUUGUCUAAAUUAUGUACAGUGUAGACACAGAUGCCAAAGGAAGAAGAGUUUGGCUGUCACCAUCACUGUGGCUUGUGUGACAGGCCCUGAAGUGGAGAGUUGCUGCAGGGGCUGCUGUGGGAUUGGUAAACCCAGGUUGGAGAGGACCAGAAUCGCCCCUGGAGGAAACAAGCACCUUCAGUCCUCCAAGUGCUAUUGGGUCCCAGUGACUUGCAGAACAACACACGCCCACUGAGCCAGUACUGGCCCUCGGCCUGUGGAAGGAUGCCACCCACACAUCUCGGUUAAACCACGGGAUGGUGCCA
This 352-nucleotide long non-coding RNA is filed under the name Cricetulus griseus (Chinese hamster). RNAcentral describes it as "lncRNA (ENSCGRG00015031684.1)". Lineage: Eukaryota; Metazoa; Chordata; Mammalia; Rodentia; Cricetidae. The record is from RNAcentral.